UGAACCCAGAGCAGCGUUGCAUCAACUGGUAGUGUUCAGAAAAAUUAUUUUAGAAUUGUUGGACUGAGACUAAAGCUCAAGAUGACAUUCAGGUGGCAACAAGGAGGUCUGCUUCAGGAGAAGAUGAUACCUGGCAGGGAUCGAUCUCAGACUGCAGGCUCUCAUUCUUUCUCAGAUGCUAUGCCAGUACUCGGGAGUCAGCUGGCUUUCGGUGCACAGCUUUUUAAUUUGAUCAUUCCUGUGUGAUGUGAGUGGCAUAAUCUGCACUGGCUGCAUCUUUACACAUCAUCCAGACCAGACCUUACAAAUCAGCAGAGCAGCAUUCAAACAGUGACAGGUGAGUAUUGUCAGGAGACAUGGUGGCACAGACAAUAACUCUUAAAUUACCCUUAGGGUAUGGUGUUUCAAUUACCUAAGGGGGCACAGAAGCAUAAAUUCUUAAGUAGGCACAUUGGCACAAAUACAUGAGAGGCACUGACUCGCUGUGUUACUUAAAGGGGUACGCCGACCCUAAACAUAAUAUUCCCUGGCCAAAGGGUAUGGGAUAACCUGUCUUAUCGGGGUGGGUCCGGCCGCGGGGAUCCCCCGUGAUCUCCGUCCUGGCGCUGCAGAGUUAGGGUCAUGGAAGCCUGGGGCUUCCGUGAUCGCUACGUCACACCACAAUGACUCCUCCUCCCAUAGAUAUGAAUAGAGGAGGCGUGGCGACUGUUAUCACCAGUCAUCCGGAACGGAGUGGAGUGACUAGGAUGCUGCAACAGAGGUCGCGGUGUCCCCAGCAGCUGGACCCUUUGGAUAGUGGAUUGCAUGUCUAGCAACGGUGUACCCCUUUAAGGGGGCUUAGUGACCUAGUCAGUGAAACUGGGACUUAGUUACCAUAAUCUGCUAUAUACGGUACAUCCCUGGCACACUCAGUGCUACCC
Long non-coding RNA from Hyla sarda, 920 nucleotides. RefSeq lists it as uncharacterized. The transcript has 3 exons. NCBI's taxonomy places the organism in Eukaryota, Metazoa, Chordata, Amphibia, Anura, Hylidae. The record is from RefSeq and is a predicted model, not a curated record.